Long non-coding RNA from Raphanus sativus (radish), 713 nucleotides. RefSeq lists it as uncharacterized. The transcript has 3 exons. NCBI's taxonomy places the organism in Eukaryota, Viridiplantae, Streptophyta, Magnoliopsida, Brassicales, Brassicaceae. The record is from RefSeq and is a predicted model, not a curated record.
UCAAGGGACUUCUUAGGAUGUUUUGGUCCAGGUAUCAAUAUACUCAUGAAAAGCAAUUCUUUUUCCAUACACAUCUCUGGUGGAAGGUUGUAUGGCGUCAAGAAGACUGGCCAAAGCGAGUAUUGUCUUCCAGACAUUCCAAAUGGACUAAAGCCAUCUGUGCAGAGCCCAAGAUAAACGUUGCGGGGGUUGCUUGCAAAAUCAGGGUACACCGAGUUCAAGUGCUUCCAAGCUUUUGCAUCAGAGGGAUGAUUGAUCUCUCCUUCCUUCUGAUCAUGUUCCGCAUGCCAUCUCAUCGAUGCUGCCGUCUUCGCAGAUUGAUAUAAUCUCUUCAGUCUAUCCUUAAUAGUAUAUCAUACAGUUGUCUAUACAAACAUUAAUCAUCUCAAGAAGGUAAACAAAGACUAUGAACAAGUUUCUGAAUCUCAUAAUAAGAUUCAGCACACAAAUUCUCUUCAGGCAAAUACUCUUUAAACAACUCAGCCCAUGCAUCCAUACAAACUUCAGGUCAAAUGCUAUAAUGAGUUUGAGGUAUGUCAGCUAGCCAAAUGAGUUUGAGGUAUGUUAGUUAGCCAAGGUUAAAAUAUAUAACAAAUCGUGGAAGAAAUAACAUGUUACUUUUUAGCAAAAUAAAAAAUAAAAAAUAACAUGUUACUUGGGAUCCAUUGACGUUGAAAACCAUGAAGAAGGUUUUAACAUUCAAAUGUGAAAUA